GCUAGUAAUGGCAGGUCAGCAUACUGCCGUGAAUACGUUCCCGGGCCUUGUACACACCGCCCGUCACACCAUGAGAGUUGGGAAUACCCGAAGCCUGUGAGCUAACUUAUAGAGGCAGCAGUCGAAGGUAGAAUCAAUGAUUGGGGUGAAGUCGUAACAAGGUAUC
RNAcentral lists this ribosomal RNA (166 nucleotides) under uncultured bacterium. RNAcentral describes it as "partial 16S ribosomal RNA". It matches the Rfam family "Bacterial small subunit ribosomal RNA", at positions 1334 to 1500 of the family's 1533-position model. The record is from RNAcentral.